Acanthosepion pharaonis is the source of this 101-nucleotide non-coding RNA. The record is from the annotation of a GenBank genome assembly. NCBI's taxonomy places the organism in Eukaryota, Metazoa, Mollusca, Cephalopoda, Sepiida, Sepiidae.
ACGUUGAAACACCGGCACCCGUACGAUAACGAAAGUUAAGCAACGUCGAGUCUGGUCAGUACCUAGAUGGGUGACCGCUUGGGAAUACCAGGUGCUGUAAG